Molecule: ribosomal RNA, 497 nt
Filed under: uncultured bacterium
Lineage: Bacteria
Description: partial 16S ribosomal RNA
Rfam family: Bacterial small subunit ribosomal RNA
Source: RNAcentral
GAUGAACGCUGGCGGCGUGCCUAAUACAUGCAAGUCGAGCGAACGGACGAGAAGCUUGCUUCUCUGAUGUUAGCGGCGGACGGGUGAGUAACACGUGGAUCACCUACCUAUAAGACUGGGAUAACUUCGGGAAACCGGAGCUAAUACCGGAUAAUAUUUUGAACCGCAUGGUUCAAAAGUGAAAGACGGUCUUGCUGUCACUUAUAGAUGGAUCCGCGCUGCAUUAGCUAGUUGGUAAGGUAACGGCUUACCAAGGCAACGAUGCAUAGCCGACCUGAGGGGGUGAUCGGCCACGCUGGAACUGGGACACGGUCCAGACGCCUACGGGAGGCAGCAGUAGGGAAUCUUCCGCAAUGGGCGAAAACCUGGCGGAGCAACGCCGCGUGAGUGAUGGAGGUCUUCGGAUCGUAAAACUCUGUUAUUAGGGAAGAACAUAUGUGUAAGUAACUGUGCACAUCUUGACGGUACCUAAUCAGAAAGCCACGGCUAACUACGUG